UCCUAACGGGUCCAGGAUCUGGGUAACGGUUUCAGGGUUAUUGGAUCUAACCCAAUUGAGCAUCGGGUUUGGUUUUGGUUUCACUUCUUCCCCGAUUCGUGUCACAAUCCAUUCCUCAUAAACCCUAUUGGAGUAUUCAAUCCGACUCCGCCGUUUUCCAAGGAAAGAAACUUCAAUAUCGACAAAUUUCUGUAAGACCCACUUCCAAUUAUGCUUCACUUUUGGUCCUACUCCGCCGUUUUAUGCUGCUUUUUAUGUUGGAUCUCUGUAUUUUCAUGUAAUCCAUAGCGUUUGUUGCCUGAUUUUUGUGUUCCUUCAUGAAUCUGUGUCAUCUCUGCUGGAAACUGUGUCCGAUAUUUGCUUUUUCAUCAAAAUGUGAUCAUUCUUCCAUGGAUUUUUCCCUCCUACUCGAGAGAUUUUAGUUGUUUCUCUUGAUUUUGUAAUCUAUUUUCCUCGUGAUAACGAUUGACAACAUGGGAUUUUUAACUGUGAUCUCUGUUAUAUCGAUACUGUUUGACACUGUGCAUCUAUUAGGUGUUUGCUAAUAUGAACUGACUGCUUAAUUUCUUUUAACACUUACUAUAAAUUGUUUGUUGUACAAUUUCUUAGUUCUUUUCCUCCCUCUCCUGAUAGAUGGAAAAGGGCAUUCUUAAGUAUUAACAGUUAUGAUGAGUUGAAGGGUUUGGCCCAAAAAUGAGAGAGUUUUAAGAUCUUAAGAACAAUUUCUUCUUAACAUUCAAAAUAUUUUUUGAAGUCCUACCUCAUUUGCUCAUUUAGUUCAUGGUUGAAUCGCUUUCCAUUCUUUGAUUCUAUUUAUUUGCAGUUUAGUUGUAGAGGUAACCUUGUUAUGUAUAUCACUGUUAUCGAAUGUUCUAUUAUGUUGUCACGAAGAAUAGGUUCAUGUAUUUCGUAUGCAUGUAUUGGUAUUUAUUUGGUUCAUAACUCUCGCUUAUUUGGUUCAUCUCUCAUUUAUUUGGUUUAUAAUCUUUUAUGUUCAUCUUCGAAUUCAUGGACGACAUUAAUGUUUCUAUUUCUAUAUAAAGGGUUGUCUAGGAUGGUUGAGAUGCAUAGAGUUUGAGUGUCAUUUUGUAUUUGUUGAGUGAACAUUUGGGAGGAACUUUGUUGACAGACUUUCUAGUGUUAGAGUAUGAGAUAUGCACUUUAUAAACACUUUGAUUAUUGAGAUUGGUUGCUCCAUGUGGAUGUAAGGGAAUUGCUUCUCUCCGAACCACAUAAACCUUUGUGUAUCUUUGUUUAACUUCUGUUUGUGGGUUUGUGAGUGCGAUCGAUCUUGCUUCCGGUUUUGUUACAACACAUUCCUCGGUGUGUGGACUUUCCACCAGUUUAAUAAGUUUGAUCAGAACCCGUGUUUCCUUGACACAACAAUUUCAACAUAUUAAACCGGUGGAAAGUCUACACACCGAGGUACCCAAUCUUGUCAAUGAUGGUCUCGUGAUGUUAUCGGGACUCCAAUGUCAAGAAUUGCACCCGAGUUGGCAUUUAGUACCGGUGGUCGAGUUACCGUGGUCAAAGAUUGGCUUUGUGUAGAACUAGAAGAUCCAAGGCCAUUGCCUAUCACAUCUUAUGUGCCACUUCUGCUUGGACCCAAUUAAAUGUACAAAUAUCUAUGCUCCAACCCCUCAUUCCA
Long non-coding RNA from Cucurbita moschata (crookneck pumpkin), 1648 nucleotides. RefSeq lists it as uncharacterized. Lineage: Eukaryota; Viridiplantae; Streptophyta; Magnoliopsida; Cucurbitales; Cucurbitaceae. The record is from RefSeq and is a predicted model, not a curated record. The transcript has 2 exons.